GUCCCUCUUUUCCCAUUGCUCCUCCAGCGUCGGGAUGUGAGCCACCAGCAAGGAGGGACACCAAUAAGGCGUCUGAUAAGAUAAUGAAAAUUAUCAUCACUAUUCCUUCUGCAAGUCCCCAGAUUGAAGGUUCAAGAGUAACACCCCAGAAGACUGUCUUUGCUGGCAAGGAAUUUAUUUGGAGCAGUUUCCACUUGAAACUUGAAGUAGCUGCUUCAAGAUGAGGCUGAUCCAGUAAGAACCCUUUGUAACAGCCAUUUCCUCCUGCUGUGUAUUUGCUGCCAUUGCGACGUGAGUCUUCAACUUCAUGCUCCAGUCGCCAUGCCUGCUGCUUGCUGCUAUGCCUCCCUGCCAUGAUGAGCACUUACCUCUGGAAACCUGAGUCCAAGAGUCCUUUGGAGUAUUUUACCUGGAGUGCUGUUAAUGUUCUUCAAAAUAUGACCUGUCCAUCAGAUGUGGCUAAAUGAAACUAUCACAAAAACUAAAUCUACAGAUUCAACAAAUAUCAAGCAUCAGCUUGGAGAGUAAUGCACUGAGUUAUAAGAAUAAGUUGAUAAAUUUAUCAAUUGUCUCAUUUAUAUGUGUCGCAAUCUGAUUUGUAGGAAACCCAUGAAUUGG
RNAcentral lists this long non-coding RNA (618 nucleotides) under Cricetulus griseus (Chinese hamster). Its description in RNAcentral is "lncRNA (ENSCGRG00015037540.1)". The record is from RNAcentral. Lineage: Eukaryota; Metazoa; Chordata; Mammalia; Rodentia; Cricetidae.